ACAGUAAAAGGACUUCUAGCGAGU
Molecule: non-coding RNA, 24 nt
Filed under: Arabidopsis thaliana (thale cress)
Lineage: Eukaryota; Viridiplantae; Streptophyta; Magnoliopsida; Brassicales; Brassicaceae
Source: RNAcentral